AACGCACCUUGCGCUCCUUGGCACUCCGAGGAGCACACCUGUUUGAGUGUCAUUGAAUUUUCAAAUCCCCCCCAUCUGUCUUCCCUUCUCUCGGCCCUCCGUGAGGGCAUGACGAGUUGGAAGUGGAAGUGGCAGUGCCGGCGGCUUUGGAUUGGUGGAGGAUCUUUGCAGGCUAAAUCUCCUGCUCCUCUGAAAUGCAUUAGCAAGGAAGGCCAUGGCGGCAUCUGCGCCUGUUGUUGGCAUGAUAAUUCUCAUCUCUUGCCUACGGACAAACGGAACCGCCCUGUCUCCCGCUCCUAAACCGUGCCAGAUCCUUCUGCACAAGCCUGACAGUGUGACCUCAAAUCAGGUGGGACUACCCACUGAACUUAA
Molecule: unclassified non-coding RNA, 372 nt
Filed under: uncultured fungus
Lineage: Eukaryota; Fungi
Description: partial contains 5.8S ribosomal RNA, internal transcribed spacer 2, and large subunit ribosomal RNA
Source: RNAcentral